UGGCUCAGAUUGAACGCUGGCGGCAGGCUUAACACAUGCAAGUCGAGCGGGGGAAGGUAGCUUGCUACUGGACCUAGCGGCGGACGGGUGAGUAAUGCUUAGGAAUCUGCCUAUUAGUGGGGGACAACAUCUCGAAAGGGAUGCUAAUACCGCAUACGUCCUACGGGAGAAAGCAGGGGAUCUUCGGACCUUGCGCUAAUAGAUGAGCCUAAGUCGGAUUAGCUAGUUGGUGGGGUAAAGGCCUACCAAGGCGACGAUCUGUAGCGGGUCUGAGAGGAUGAUCCGCCACACUGGGACUGAGACACGGCCCAGACUCCUACGGGAGGCAGCAGUGGGGAAUAUUGGACAAUGGGGGGAACCCUGAUCCAGCCAUGCCGCGUGUGUGAAGAAGGCCUUAUGGUUGUAAAGCACUUUAAGCGAGGAGGAGGCUACUUUAGUUAAUACCUAGAGAUAGUGGACGUUACUCGCAGAAUAAGCACCGGCUAACUCUGUGCCAGCAGCCGCGGUAAUACAGAGGGUGCGAGCGUUAAUCGGAUUUACUGGGCGUAAAGCGUGCGUAGGCGGCUUAUUAAGUCGGAUGUGAAAUCCCCGAGCUUAACUUGGGAAUUGCAUUCGAUACUGGUGAGCUAGAGUAUGGGAGAGGAUGGUAGAAUUCCAGGUGUAGCGGUGAAAUGCGUAUAGAUCUGGAGGAAUACCGAUGGCGAAGGCAGCCAUCUGGCCUAAUACUGACGCUGAGGUACGAAAGCAUGGGGAGCAAACAGGAUUAGAUACCCUGGUAGUCCAUGCCGUAAACGAUGUCUACUAGCCGUUGGGGCCUUUGAGGCUUUAGUGGCGCAGCUAACGCGAUAAGUAGACCGCCUGGGGAGUACGGUCGCAAGACUAAAACUCAAAUGAAUUGACGGGGGCCCGCACAAGCGGUGGAGCAUGUGGUUUAAUUCGAUGCAACGCGAAGAACCUUACCUGGCCUUGACAUACUAGAAACUUUCCAGAGAUGGAUUGGUGCCUUCGGGAAUCUAGAUACAGGUGCUGCAUGGCUGUCGUCAGCUCGUGUCGUGAGAUGUUGGGUUAAGUCCCGCAACGAGCGCAACCCUUUUCCUUACUUGCCAGCAUUUCGGAUGGGAACUUUAAGGAUACUGCCAGUGACAAACUGGAGGAAGGCGGGGACGACGUCAAGUCAUCAUGGCCCUUACGGCCAGGGCUACACACGUGCUACAAUGGUCGGUACAAAGGGUUGCUACACAGCGAUGUGAUGCUAAUCUCAAAAAGCCGAUCGUAGUCCGGAUUGGAGUCUGCAACUCGACUCCAUGAAGUCGGAACCGCUAGUAAUCGCGGAUCAGAAUGCCGCGGUGAAUACGUUCCCGGGCCUUGUACACACCGCCCGUCACACCAUGGGAGUUUGUUGCACCAGAAGUAGCUAGCCUAACUGCAAAGAGGGCGGUUACCACGGUGUGGCCGAUGACUGGGGUGAAGUCGUAACAAGGUAGCCGUAGGGGAACCUGCGGU
Molecule: ribosomal RNA, 1503 nt
Filed under: Acinetobacter baumannii
Lineage: Bacteria; Pseudomonadati; Pseudomonadota; Gammaproteobacteria; Moraxellales; Moraxellaceae
Description: bacterial SSU rRNA
Rfam family: Bacterial small subunit ribosomal RNA
Source: RNAcentral